RNAcentral lists this ribosomal RNA (588 nucleotides) under Bacteroidetes bacterium QS_8_64_10. RNAcentral describes it as "bacterial SSU rRNA". It matches the Rfam family "Bacterial small subunit ribosomal RNA", at positions 1 to 582 of the family's 1533-position model. Lineage: Bacteria; Pseudomonadati; Bacteroidota. The record is from RNAcentral.
ACUACGGAGAGUUUGAUCCUAGCUCAGGACGAACGCUGGCGGCGGGCUUAACACAUGCAAGUCGCACGGGAAAGCGCCCUUCGGGGCGUGAGUACAGUGGCGAACGGGUGCGUAAUGCGUAGACAAUCUGCCUUCGGGAGGAGGAUAACUGCCGGAAACGGCAGCUAAUCCUGCAUACCGGUCGUGAGGUCGCCUGGCUUCACGAUGAAAGCUUUCGAGCGCCCGGAGAUGAGUCUACGUCCGAUUAGCUUGCUGGUGAGGUAACGGCUCACCAAGGCGACGAUCGGUAGCUGGUCUGAGAGGAUGAUCAGCCACACUGGGACUGAGACACGGCCCAGACUCCUACGGGAGGCAGCAGUGAGGAAUCUUGCGCAAUGGAGGCAACUCUGACGCAGCCACGCCGCGUGGAGGAAGACACCCCGCAGGGGCGUAAACUCCUUUUGCGUGGGAAGAACCCCCGGAUUUCGAUCCGGGCUGACGGUACCACGAGAAUAAGCACCGGCUAACUCCGUGCCAGCAGCCGCGGUAAUACGGAGGGUGCAAGCGUUGUCCGGAAUCACUGGGUGUAAAGGGUGUGCAGGCGGACCU